This 454-nucleotide ribosomal RNA is filed under the name uncultured bacterium. Its description in RNAcentral is "bacterial SSU rRNA". It matches the Rfam family "Bacterial small subunit ribosomal RNA", at positions 10 to 479 of the family's 1533-position model. The record is from RNAcentral.
AGUUUGAUCAUGGCUCAGGACGAACGCUGGCGGCGUGCUUAACACAUGCAAGUCGAGCGGUAAGGCUCCUUCGGGAGUACACGAGCGGCGAACGGGUGAGUAACACGUGAGCAAUCUGCCCUUCACAUCGGAAUAACCAUUGGAAACGAUGGCUAAUACCGAAUACGACAACGGAUCGCAUGAUCUGUUGUGGAAAGCUCCGGCGGUGAAGGAUGAGCUCGCGGCCUAUCAGCUUGUUGGUGAGGUAAUAGCUCACCAAGGCGAUGACGGGUAGCCGGCCUGAGAGGGUGACCGGCCACACUGGGACUGAGACACGGCCCAGACUCCUACGGGAGGCAGCAGUGGGGAAUAUUGGACAAUGGGCGAAAGCCUGAUCCAGCAACGCCGCGUGAGGGAUGACGGCCUUCGGGUUNGUAAACCUCUUUCAGCGGGGACGAAGCGACGUGACGGUACC